Molecule: non-coding RNA, 157 nt
Organism: Serratia fonticola
Lineage: Bacteria; Pseudomonadati; Pseudomonadota; Gammaproteobacteria; Enterobacterales; Yersiniaceae
Rfam family: sok antitoxin (CssrC)
About the family: Also identified in Shigella as CssrC.
Source: Rfam
GGGUGCUCUGGAUCUUUCCGUCUGGAGCAUUUGGUAAAGGAUGGAAAGAGAAAAGCCCCGGACCGAUUUACAUCAAUCCGAGGCCGAUCUCACUCCUAAGCAAGGUGAGGUUAGCCUCUUAAAAUCCCAAAAUCAAGGGACAAGGAGGUUAAGAAUG